RNAcentral lists this ribosomal RNA (774 nucleotides) under uncultured Neocallimastigales. Its description in RNAcentral is "partial large subunit ribosomal RNA". It matches the Rfam family "Eukaryotic large subunit ribosomal RNA", at positions 24 to 646 of the family's 3401-position model. Lineage: Eukaryota; Fungi; Neocallimastigomycota; Neocallimastigomycetes; Neocallimastigales. The record is from RNAcentral.
GUAGUCUCGCACAGAUGCAUAUCAAUAAGCGGAGGAAAAGAAACUAACAAGGAUUCCCCUAGUAACGGCGAGUGAAGCGGGAAGAGCUCAAAUUUGAAAUCUUAAAGGGUUUCCCUUUACGAAUUGUAGUUUAAAGAAGUGUUUUCUGUCGAGGUUUUGGUAAAAGUUCUUUGGAAUAGGACAUCAUAGAGGGUGAGAAUCCCGUAUUUGACCUUUACUUUCAACUUUGUGAUACACUUUCAAAGAGUCGGAUUGUUUGGGAAUGCAGUCCAAAAUGGGUGGUAAAUUUCAUCUAAAGCUAAAUAUUGGCGAGAGACCGAUAGCGAACAAGUACCGUGAGGGAAAGAUGAAAAGAACUUUGAAAAGAGAGUUAAACAGUACGUGAAAUUGUCAAAAGGGAAGCGUUUGACACCAGUGUUGUUUUUCUGAAAAUCAAUUAAAGAACUGUUUAUGCUAAGUUGUUUAGACUUUAUCAGCUAACUGUUUAGUUUUGAGCUUUUCUUUAAUGCACUUUUCAGUUAACAAGUCAACAUCAAUUUCUUUUGCUGUAAAAAAGCUUGAGGAAGGUGGCUUGAGAUUCGUCUUAAGUGUUUAUAGCCUCUUGCCUAUGCAGUCGGAGAGAUUGAGGUCUGCAGCGUAGAUCCUUCGGGGCUAAAUGCAUUUGUGCUAAGUUAUAACAUUUUAUAGACAACUUGUUGACUAUGAUUUGUCUUGUAGCUUACUCGCUUAUGUUAUUUUACCUACGCUUAGGAUGUUGAUCUGUAGUGCGUGCGC